GAUCCUGGCUCAGAAUCAACGCUGGCGGCGUGCCUAACACAUGCAAGUCGAGCGCGAAAGGGGGGGUAACUCCCCGAGUAGAGCGGCAAACGGGUGAGUAACGCGUGGGUGAUCUACCUUCGAGUGGGGAACAACACCGGGAAACCGAGGCUAAUACCGCAUAAUACCCACGGGUCAAAGGAGCAAUUCGCUUGAGGAGGGGGUCGCGGCCGAUUAGCUAGUUGGCGGGGUAAUGGCCCACCAAGGCAGUGAUCGGUAUCCGGCCUGAGAGGGCGCACGGACACACUGGAACUGAAACACGGUCCAGACUCCUACGGGAGGCAGCAGUGGGGAAUUUUGCGCAAUGGGGGAAACCCUGACGCAGCAACGCCGCGCGGAGGAUGAAGUCUCUUGGGACGUAAACUCCUUUCGAUCGGAACGAUUAUGACGGUACCGGAAGAAGAAGCCCCGGCUAACUUCGUGCCAGCAGCCGCGGUAAUACGAGGGGGGCGAGCGUUGUUCGGAAUUAUUGGGCGUAAAGGGUGCGUAGGCGGUUCGGUAAGUUUGAUGUGAAAUCUUCGGGCUCAACUCGAAGUCUGCAUCGAAAACUGCCGGGCUUGAGUGUGGGAGAGGUGAGUGGAAUUUCCGGUGUAGCGGUGAAAUGCGUAGAUAUCGGAAGGAACACCUGUGGCGAAAGCGGCUCACUGGACCACAACUGACGCUGAUGCACGAAAGCUAGGGGAGCAAACAG
RNAcentral lists this ribosomal RNA (730 nucleotides) under uncultured Acidobacteriota bacterium. RNAcentral describes it as "bacterial SSU rRNA". It matches the Rfam family "Bacterial small subunit ribosomal RNA", at positions 15 to 775 of the family's 1533-position model. The record is from RNAcentral. Lineage: Bacteria; Pseudomonadati; Acidobacteriota.